This 224-nucleotide long non-coding RNA is filed under the name Capsicum annuum. RNAcentral's name for it is "long non-coding RNA (CANN_LNC018898)". Lineage: Eukaryota; Viridiplantae; Streptophyta; Magnoliopsida; Solanales; Solanaceae. The record is from RNAcentral.
CCUGGUGUGUGGACUACAUCGGGAACCUACAUUAUGAAGGAAUUUUCCCACAAAUGCAUAUACAUGGUAAGUAAUUUGGAAUGUACCGAGUAUAUGGGACAUUUAAUAUAAUCAUGGAAAUACUUAAUAUAUGUUUCAAAAUUGAAGACAUAAGCUAUUUUCUGAAAUAUUCAUUUAAAACGUGGUUGUACGUAUAAGCUGUAAGACAUAAUGAAAUUUCUAAA